UGAGUUUGAUCCUGGCUCAGGAUGAACGCUAGCGGCGGGCUUAACACAUGCAAGUCGAACGGUAACGGUUCCUUCGGGAAGCCGACGAGUGGCGAACGGGUGCAUAACGCGUAUGCAACCUACCUUCAACUGGGGCAUAGCCCGAAGAAAUUCGGAUUAAUACCCCAUAACCUAUCGAAUGGCAUCAGGCAGAUAGCAAAGUUUCGGCGGUUGGAGAUGGGCAUGCGUCAGAUUAGUUAGUUGGUGGGGUAACGGCUUACCAAGGCGACGAUCUGUAGGGGGCUCGAGAGGGUGAUCCCCCACACUGGUACUGAGACACGGACCAGACUCCUACGGGAGGCAGCAGUGAGGAAUAUUGGACAAUGGAGGCAACUCUGAUCCAGCUACGCCGCGUGCAGGAAUAAGGCCUUAUGGGUUGUAAACUGCUUUUUUACGGGAAUAAACCGCCCCACGAGCUGGGGCGCUGAAUGUACCGUACGAAUAAGUACCGGCUAACUCCGUGCCAGCAGCCGCGGUAAUACGGAGGGUACAAGCGUUAUCCGGAUUCAUUGGGUUUAAAGGGUCCGUAGGCGGGUUGAUCAGUCAGUGGUGAAAGCCGGCAGCUCAACUGCAGAACGGCCAUUGAUACUGUCAGCCUAGAGUGAGGUUGCAGCAGCUGGAAUAUGUGGUGUAGCGGUGAAAUGCAUAGAUAUCACAUGGAACACCGAUUGCGAAGGCAGGUUGCUAAGCCUUAACUGACGCUGAGGGACGAAAGCGUGGGUAGCGAACAGGAUUAGAUACCCUGGUAGUCCACGCCGUAAACGAUGAUUACUCGGUGCCGGAUUUAUUUUCGGUGCCCAAGCGAAAGUGAUAAGUAAUCCACCUGGGGAGUACGUUCGCAAGAAUGAAACUCAAAGGAAUUGACGGGGGCCCGCACAAGCGGUGGAGCAUGUGGUUUAAUUCGAUGGUACGCGAGGAACCUUACCAGGGUUUAAAUGCAGAGCGACUGCACUGGAAACAGGGCUUUCUUCGGACGAUCUGCAAGGUGCUGCAUGGUUGUCGUCAGCUCGUGCCGUGAGGUGUCAGGUUAAGUCCUAUAACGAGCGCAACCCCUAUCGUUAGUUGCCAGCGUGUCGAGACGGGGACUCUAACGAGACUGCCGGUGCAAACCGAGAGGAAGGUGGGGAUGACGUCAAAUCAUCACGGCCCUUACAUCCUGGGCUACACACGUGCUACAAUGGUCGGUACAGUGGGCAGCUACACCGCGAGGUGAUGCCAAUCUCUAAAGCCGAUCUCAGUUCGGAUCGCAGUCUGCAACUCGACUGCGUGAAGCCGGAAUCGCUAGUAAUCGCAAAUCAGCCAUGUUGCGGUGAGUACGUUCCCGGGCCUUGUACACACCGCCCGUCAAGCCAUGGAAGCUGGGGGUACCUGAAGUCGGUGACCGCGAGGAGCUGCCUAGGGUAAAAUCGGUAACUGGGGCUAAGUCGUAACAAGG
RNAcentral lists this ribosomal RNA (1474 nucleotides) under uncultured Bacteroidota bacterium. Its description in RNAcentral is "bacterial SSU rRNA". It matches the Rfam family "Bacterial small subunit ribosomal RNA". Lineage: Bacteria; Pseudomonadati; Bacteroidota. The record is from RNAcentral.